Anas platyrhynchos (mallard) is the source of this 3828-nucleotide non-coding RNA. The record is from RefSeq and is a predicted model, not a curated record. Lineage: Eukaryota; Metazoa; Chordata; Aves; Anseriformes; Anatidae.
UGGUGAUAAUUUGUUUUGAAAUUACUUGUUUUAUUCCUUCAAGAACUCCCAAUCCCCUCUUGUUGAUUUUUUAAAAUUAUUAUUUUUUUUAUUAUUUUUAGGGUUAUUAUUUUUAGGGCUACCAGUUCAUUUUGAAUAUUUUCUGUUCAAAAUAGCUGGACUGGGUCACAGGCUUUGGUAGCCCAUAUGGUUAUGAAACCUUCCCUUGUUUCUGGGGAUUUGCUCUAUCUGCACACCUGCACUUCAGCAGAUCGAAGGAUAUUUAGGGAACACCAAGUGCUUCCAGCUGAGCAUCAAGCAAAUUUCAAGUUGCAGUGAGUGGUCUUGGGGGUCUCACCAGGUGGCUCAUCCUGAUUUCCAGCAGACAACUUCUAUCCAACCUGCCUGAGGACCACAGAGAAGAAAAGCCCCCUCCCGCUGGGCCUACCUGCUUCUGAUGGGGCCGUUCCUGUUGCUCAGGACCUGUGAGGGUGCUGCUCUCUUCCCAGCUGGGAGUGCAGAGGACUGAGAACAGGAGGGCUGGGAGAUAUCAGCUGUUUCUUAGCCUACAGAGAGCCAACCUGGCAUUAACUUGCACCUUUACACAGCUGAAUUAACUCCUGCCGUCUGGAGAGCUGGGUAGGAGCAAGCACCAGGAGGACCUGGACUUCUGCUGGAGGCAAUUACAAAUCACAUCCCUGGAGCACUCUGUAGUGACAAGCACACGUAUGGCCUUGCCAUGGGCACUGCCUGCACCUGGGGAGGAUGAAGAGGUGAGGAAGGCUGCAGUGUGGAGUAAGUUUUGGGGUUGUGCUCAGGCCAGGUGCUGGUGUGCUUCUGCACCAGCUCACCUGCUGCACGGGUCAGAAACCCUACUAGUGAGGCAGGAACAUGCUCUUCUCCCUUGUAAUUAGGCACUGGAUAUGUCAACCGUGUUUUAAUGAAGUUGGGACAGCAUCCAAAUCUAAAACAGGCAGGGAAGAAAAUAUCCUGUGAUGUGGCAUUAUGCUGGUGGAAAAUACCUGGGGAAACUUGGAUCCAUCACCUGCAGCAUGAUGGAUCACCAGCCACAUCCGUACAGUUUGAGCUGAGUAUGACUUGGAAACCCAGAGAUCAGCAAUUCCUCUGGUACAGCCAGAAAUCUUUUAAAAGUCCCCAGGCGCUCUUCAAUGUUCCUUUUGUGGCUCCCACGUACAACCCUCCAUGCAGGCAUUCACGCAGCAGGUGAGAGAUGCUGCUCGGGGCUCCAGCUGGCCCCCUUCCCACCACAGCCCCGCGCAGCCUAACGCUUAACCAAGUGCCAAGGCUGGCAUGAAAGGAGCCUUUCAAAGGAAACAGACCAACCCAGUAAUUUCAGACAGGAGGCUAAAAUAAAUUGUAAGUUGGCAGAGCUCUUGGCACUUCUGAGUGCCCUGUAUUUACAGGCUCUUCCUCCGCUAGCCAUGUCCCAGUAUUUUUAAUUAUCUGUUUUGUUGGUCCCUGCCUCUGCUCACUAGCAAUACCUAAGGGACUCUGAGAUGGAGGCGGUGGGAGGUAAAGAUGAUGUAAAAGCGAUUCAACGCAGUCAGGCAGUGCUCUACAGGCCCUAAAAUACCCAAAUGAACUCAGCUGGAGACAGGGCACUCAUCCCUGCACAGACCCGAGCCCAAGCCCCUACAGGGACAGCCCGGAGCACCCUGCGUUGUCGAAGGGUGCUCUGCUCCCCCAUGCAACAGCUGUUCCUGGCAAGCAGAGGGGAACAAGUGAAUAAACAUCUGAGAAAGGUUUUAGAGUUUGGACCGGAGAUUUGCAGUUAAUGUUUAGUAGCCUGCCCUUUUGUGUUCUGCUGCAAGCUGAAUUCAUGACUUGGAAAUGGCUUCGUCGGCUCCUGUUUGAGUUGUGUGGUUGUAUCCUCACCUGCUGCCUUUGAAGACAGAGCAUUUGUCAUGAUUUCUUAUUGCCUUCUGUCACACCACCACAGGUCUAAGCUGUUAUUGGGAAACUUUAAGAAGGUAUUUUGCAAACUAAAAGCCAUGUUAACAGAAAGGGAAAAAAAAGUAUCUUACUUUUGCAAAUAAUUACACAGCUUUAUUAUUCAGUAUCACAGUCUCAGGAAAUGAAACAGUCCAGAUCCCUUCCAAGACAUUACACAGCCUUUUUCCAUCUCUCUGGCCACAAAAUAAUCAAAUUAAAUACAAAUCGUUGUUUUGCUACAUCUAUUAAAUUGGAAGAACACAAUUAUUGGUAGAACCAGCUAAGCUCCAGGAGCUAGGGGUGGAAUGAAGCACUGCCUUCGCCUUCUCUUGCAUAACCCACGGGGGGCACAGCCAACAGGACACACCAAACAAGUCUCCAACUCGCAGCAAGGAAAAGAACCCAAUUCAGCGUUCCCAGAAAAGCACACGGAGGGACAGAAGGAUGCAGUCAAUAACAAAAUACAAUGGUUUAUUGAACAAAACGGGGCAAGGCAAUGUUCCCUUUACAUUCAACGAAUUCAGGAGUAUGAAGCAAAACAUGCUAUACACACACGGACACAAUACUUUGGUUAAAUGUCAUUCAGAAGUUCUAUGCCAAACCUGGUUAAAUUAGAGUGAACAGUCAAAAAUAAGAAAGAAGAGGCUUGCAUAGACAGAUUAUUGUCAGUGCAUGAUUUAUAUAUUUAAGAAUUAGCUGUUGCAACACAGGAUACACUUUGCAGCUCUGAGGAAUUUAAACCAAUCCACUAAUCUAUCUCCUCGUAUGGCUAACAUUUAGAUUCAACAGGCUGAAAGCUUACCCUGAAGAGCUAAACUAGACAACCGCAGUCUCUCUGAGGCAGUUAGCUAUAUUGCAGUACGCAGAUGCAGCUGGAGACACACUGUGGAGUCUACUUAAGAGUGAACACUGAUACAGUGAAACUUGUUUGCUGUGAAAUAGGAAAUACUUGCUUGUGUGUGCCGUUGUCCUCUCCGGGACCCUCCUGUGAAGAGCAUCAACUGCACAGCUUAAGCCUUGCCCUGCGCUACCCAAGAGGAGGCAGCAGCAGCUGAUAUUUCCAGCCCAGAGGCUGAGGGCAGUGCAGCUUCUCAACACAAAACGUGUGUAGUGCAGCCUGUCUGAGGCAUGGCAGUCCAAGUGGCAUGUGUGCAGCACAGCUCAACCCUCCACGACAGCCCUGCACGGCCAGAAGUGUGUUAUGGCACAUUUCAGAGUACAGAUAACUGGAGUCUCUGUAGGUUUAUAUGCCUGUCCUUCACAAGAAGAGACAAGCAGCCUGUGGUGUGUGUUAUGUGAGGGGCACUGCUGUGCCUCAGUGCUGUAUCCCACACCCACCUCCCAAAGCAACUGCAAAACUAAGCAUUGAGAGAGAGUGGGGCAGAACCAGAACAGUCCCUCUGCUGGGGACGGAUAUAGGGCAGCCUUAAAGUCAUCCCCAAAUGGGAACUGCUGCUGCAGCAGCUGCCUCCUUGGGCAUCACCGCCACAAAGAGAACAGCAGAGAACUUGGUCGCCUGUCAGUCCCUGCUCUGAGCUGCGCUUUGUUUCCUACUACACCUGAACACAGCCUUGCAGCAACAGUGCUGCCAUGAGGAAUAGCAGGAGCAGUCUGAUUCAGCUGGCAGAUGCCCAGGAGAAUUACUUCUUGCAGAGAAUAUGAGUUUUAUGGACUGGCUGCACUAUAUUGCAGGAGUGUAAACUAAGUAGGGGAAUCCUCACACUGUCUCCAAAGUGCUCCCCUUGUAUAUAAAUUAGCAAUCCACAGUUAGUUUGCAUACAGGUUAACAUGAAGUAAAAUAAAAACCUUGAUAAUAAAAAAUAUAUAAUAUACACAUUGAUCAAUAAACUGAACGGAUACCCUCUAAUGUAACAGUGGCUGUAGUUUGGCACAAAA